RNAcentral lists this ribosomal RNA (244 nucleotides) under uncultured Microbacterium sp. RNAcentral's name for it is "partial 16S ribosomal RNA". It matches the Rfam family "Bacterial small subunit ribosomal RNA", at positions 136 to 381 of the family's 1533-position model. The record is from RNAcentral. Lineage: Bacteria; Bacillati; Actinomycetota; Actinomycetes; Micrococcales; Microbacteriaceae.
CGGCCGCGUCGACGCUGGAAACGGCGUCUAAUACUGGAUAUGUCCCGUCACCGCAUGGUGUGCGGGUGGAAAGAUUUUCGGUUGGGGAUGGGCUCGCGGCCUAUCAGCUUGUUGGUGAGGUAAUGGCUCACCAAGGCGUCGACGGGUAGCCGGCCUGAGAGGGUGACCGGCCACACUGGGACUGAGACACGGCCCAGACUCCUACGGGAGGCAGCGGUGGGGAGUUUUCCGCAAUGGGCGAAAG